RNAcentral lists this ribosomal RNA (253 nucleotides) under uncultured bacterium. RNAcentral describes it as "partial 16S ribosomal RNA". It matches the Rfam family "Bacterial small subunit ribosomal RNA", at positions 524 to 776 of the family's 1533-position model. The record is from RNAcentral.
UACGUAGGGCGCAAGCGUUAUCCGGAAUUAUUGGGCGUAAAGAGCUCGUAGGCGGUCUGUCGCGUCGGAUGUGAAAAUCCAGGGCUCAACCCUGGACCUGCAUUCGAUACGGGCAGACUAGAGUUCGGUAGGGGAGACUGGAAUUCCUGGUGUAGCGGUGAAAUGCGCAGAUAUCAGGAGGAACACCGGUGGCGAAGGCGGGUCUCUGGGCCGAAACUGACGCUGAGGAGCGAAAGCGUGGGGAGCAAACAGG